RNAcentral lists this ribosomal RNA (470 nucleotides) under uncultured bacterium. RNAcentral's name for it is "bacterial SSU rRNA". It matches the Rfam family "Bacterial small subunit ribosomal RNA", at positions 1021 to 1496 of the family's 1533-position model. The record is from RNAcentral.
GGGGAAAGUAGAGACAGGUGGUGCAUGGUUGUCGUCAGCUCGUGUCGUGAGAUGUUGGGUUAAGUCCCGCAACGAGCGCAACCCCCUAUUGUUAGUUGCUACGCAAGAGCACUCUAGCGAGACUGCCGUUGACAAAACGGAGGAAGGCGGGGACGACGUCAAAUCAUCAUGCCCCUUAUGUCCUGGGCUACACACGUAAUACAAUGGCGGUCAACAAAGGGAUGCAAAGCCGCGAGGCAGAGCGAACCCCAAAAAGCCGUCCCAGUUAGGAUCGCAGGCUGCAACCCGCCUGCGUGAAGUCGGAAUCGCUAGUAAUCGCGGAUCAGCAUGCCGCGGUGAAUACGUUCCCGGGCCUUGUACACACCGCCCGUCACACCAUGAGAGUCGGGAACACCCGAAGUCCGUAGCCUAACCGCAAGGAGGGCGCGGCCGAAGGUGGGUUCGAUAAUUGGGGUGAAGUCGUAACAAGG